This 301-nucleotide ribosomal RNA is filed under the name uncultured bacterium. Its description in RNAcentral is "partial 16S ribosomal RNA". It matches the Rfam family "Bacterial small subunit ribosomal RNA", at positions 509 to 807 of the family's 1533-position model. The record is from RNAcentral.
CAGUCGCCGCGGUAAUACGAAGGGGGCUAGCGUUGCUCGGAAUUACUGGGCGUAAAGGGAGCGUAGGCGGAUCGUUUAGUCAGGGGUGAAAUCCCGGGGCUCAACCUCGGAACUGCCUUUGAUACUGGCGAUCUUGAGUAUGGGAGAGGUGUGUGGAACUCCGAGUGUAGAGGUGAAAUUCGUAGAUAUUCGCAAGAACACCAGUGGCGAAGGCGGCUCACUGGCCCGGAACUGACGCUGAGGCUCGACAGCGUGGGGAGCAAACAGGAUUAGAUACCCGCGUAGUCCCUGUCUCUUAUAC